This 397-nucleotide ribosomal RNA is filed under the name uncultured bacterium. RNAcentral's name for it is "partial 16S ribosomal RNA". It matches the Rfam family "Bacterial small subunit ribosomal RNA", at positions 523 to 918 of the family's 1533-position model. The record is from RNAcentral.
AUACGUAGGGGGCGAGCGUUGUCCGGAAUGAUUGGGCGUAAAGGGCGCGUAGGCGGCCCGGUAAGUCUGGAGUGAAAGUCCUGUUUUUAAGAUGGGAAUUGCUUUGGAUACUGUCGGGCUUGAGCGCAGGAGAGGUAAGUGGAAUUCCCAGUGUAGCGGGGAAAUGCGUAGAGAUUGGGAGGAACACCAGUGGCGAAGGCGACUUACUGGACUGUAACUGACGCUGAGGCGCGAAAGUGUGGGGAGCAAACAGGAUUAGAUACCCUGGUAGUCCACACUGUAAACGAUGAAUGCUAGGUGUAGGGGGUAUCGACCCCUUCUGUGCCGCAGUCAACACAAUAAGCAUUCCGCCUGGGGAGUACGGCCGCAAGGUUGAAACUCAAAUGAAUUGACGGGG